This 497-nucleotide ribosomal RNA is filed under the name uncultured bacterium. Its description in RNAcentral is "partial 16S ribosomal RNA". It matches the Rfam family "Bacterial small subunit ribosomal RNA", at positions 28 to 507 of the family's 1533-position model. The record is from RNAcentral.
GAUGAACGCUGGCGGCGUGCCUAAUACAUGCAAGUCGAGCGAACAGACGAGGAGCUUGCUCCUCUGACGUUAGCGGCGGACGGGUGAGUAACACGUGGAUAACCUACCUAUAAGACUGGGAUAACUUCGGGAAACCGGAGCUAAUACCGGAUAAUAUAUUGAACCGCAUGGUUCAAUAUUGAAAGACGGUUUUGCUGUCACUAAUAGUUGGAUCCGCGCCGCAUUAGCAAGUGGGUAAGGAAACGGCUUACAAAGGCAACGAAGCGAAGCCGACUUGAGAGGGGGAUCGGCCACACUGGACUGGGGACACGGUCCAGACCCCUACGGGAGGCACCAGUGGGGAAUCUUCCGCAAUGGGCGAAGGCCUGACGGAGCAACGCCGCGUGGUUGAGGAGGGUCUUCGGAUCUAAAAACUCGGUUAUUAGGGAAGAACAAAUGUGUAAGUAACUAUGCACGUCUUGACGGUACCUAAUCAGAAAGCCACGGCUAACUACGUG